UACGAAGGGGGCUAGCGUUGUUCGGAAUUACUGGGCGUAAAGUGCACGUAGGCGGAUUUGUAAGUCAGGGGUGAAAUCCCGGGGCUCAACCUCGGAACUGCCUUUGAUACUGCAAGUCUCGAGUCCGAUAGAGGUGAGUGGAAUUCCUAGUGUAGAGGUGAAAUUCGUAGAUAUUAGGAAGAACACCAGUGGCGAAGGCGGCUCACUGGAUCGGUACUGACGCUGAGGUGCGAAAGCGUGGGGAGCAAACAGG
This 253-nucleotide ribosomal RNA is filed under the name uncultured bacterium. Its description in RNAcentral is "partial 16S ribosomal RNA". It matches the Rfam family "Bacterial small subunit ribosomal RNA", at positions 524 to 776 of the family's 1533-position model. The record is from RNAcentral.